CUCCAGGUGGCACAAUGGGUCAGUGCAUCUGACUGUUAACCAGAAGGUUGGUGGUUCGAGCCCAGGCCUGGGGC
RNAcentral lists this transfer RNA (74 nucleotides) under Podarcis lilfordi (Lilford's wall lizard). It matches the Rfam family "tRNA". From Rfam's summary of the family: Transfer RNA (tRNA) molecules are approximately 80 nucleotides in length. Their secondary structure includes four short double-helical elements and three loops (D, anti-codon, and T loops). The record is from Rfam by way of RNAcentral. Lineage: Eukaryota; Metazoa; Chordata; Lepidosauria; Squamata; Lacertidae.